Long non-coding RNA from Zea mays, 266 nucleotides. RefSeq lists it as uncharacterized. The transcript has 3 exons. The record is from RefSeq and is a predicted model, not a curated record. Lineage: Eukaryota; Viridiplantae; Streptophyta; Magnoliopsida; Poales; Poaceae.
GAUCAUUAUGAACAGACUUUUAAGGGCAACCGGCCAUCACUAAGUUUGCUUCUGCCUACACUAUCCGCAUAUGAGGUUGGACAGCUUUUAUCCAUCUAUGAGCACCGGAUUGCAGUUCAGGGCUUCUUAUGGGGAAUUAACUCAUUUGAUCAGUGGGGAGUGGAGCUAGGGAAGUCACUCGCUUCUCAAGUGAGGAAACAGCUGCAUGGAACCCGGAUGGAAGUUAAGCCUGUUGAGGGUUUUAACCACAUCACUUCAAGUUCGCU